AGGGGGCUAGCGUUAUCCGGAUUUACUGGGCGUAAAGGGUGCGUAGGUGGUUUCUUACGUCAGGAGUGAAAGGCUACGGCUUAACCGUCGUAAGCUCUUGAAACUGGGAAACUUGAGUGCAGGAGAGGAAAGUGGAAUUCCUAGUGUAGCGGUGAAAUGCGUAGAUAUUAGGAGGAACACCAGUAGCGUAGGCGGCUUUCUGGACUGUAACUGACACUGAGGCACGAAAGCGUGGGGAGCAAA
Molecule: ribosomal RNA, 243 nt
Filed under: uncultured bacterium
Lineage: Bacteria
Description: partial 16S ribosomal RNA
Rfam family: Bacterial small subunit ribosomal RNA
Source: RNAcentral